This 253-nucleotide ribosomal RNA is filed under the name uncultured bacterium. RNAcentral's name for it is "partial 16S ribosomal RNA". It matches the Rfam family "Bacterial small subunit ribosomal RNA", at positions 524 to 776 of the family's 1533-position model. The record is from RNAcentral.
UACAGAGGGUGCAAACGUUGCUCGGAAUUAUUGGGCGUAAAGCGCGUGUAGGCGGCUUGUUAAGUUGGUCGUGAAAGCCCAUGGCUCAACCAUGGAAGUGCAACCAAAACUGGCAAGCUUGAGUUCUGAAGAGGAUGGCGGAAUUCCCAGUGUAGAGGUGAAAUUCGUAGAUAUUGGGAGGAACAUCGGUGGCGAAGGCGGCCAUCUGGGAAGAUACUGACGCUGAGACGCGAAAGCGUGGGUAGCAAACAGG